ACGCAUCAUCAAGAGAAGGGCUGGCGCCCUCGCCAACCUGCCUAACCGGGCAAGGUGGUCUCCGCCGAAAGGGAUGUGGUUUCGAACUGAGGACGUCGUCUUCAUCAUUCGUAACAACCAAGCGGUAGUUU
RNAcentral lists this non-coding RNA (131 nucleotides) under Pseudovibrio sp. Its description in RNAcentral is "SAM-I-IV sequence". It matches the Rfam family "SAM-I/IV (S-adenosyl methionine) riboswitch aptamer". Rfam says of the family: It is found upstream of a number of genes which code for proteins involved in methionine or cysteine biosynthesis. It has been found mostly in the order Actinomycetales. The record is from RNAcentral. Lineage: Bacteria; Pseudomonadati; Pseudomonadota; Alphaproteobacteria; Hyphomicrobiales; Stappiaceae.